RNAcentral lists this ribosomal RNA (301 nucleotides) under uncultured bacterium. Its description in RNAcentral is "partial 16S ribosomal RNA". It matches the Rfam family "Bacterial small subunit ribosomal RNA", at positions 509 to 809 of the family's 1533-position model. The record is from RNAcentral.
CAGUCGCCGCGGGAAUACAGAGGGUGCGAGCGUUAAUCGGAUUUACUGGGCGUAAAGCGUGCGUAGGCGGCUUUUUAAGUCGGAUGUGAAAUCCCUGAGCUUAACUUAGGAAUUGCAUUCGAUACUGGGAAGCUAGAGUCUUGUAGAGGGGGGUAGAAUUCCAGGUGUAGCGGUGAAAUGCGUAGAUAUAGGAAGGAACACCAGUGGCGAAGGCGACCACCUGGACUGAUACUGACACUGAGGUGCGAAAGCGUGGGGAGCAAACAGGAUUAGAUACCCGAGUAGUCCCUGUCUCUUAUAU